Long non-coding RNA from Sapajus apella (tufted capuchin), 523 nucleotides. RefSeq lists it as uncharacterized. The record is from RefSeq and is a predicted model, not a curated record. The transcript is spliced from 3 exons. NCBI's taxonomy places the organism in Eukaryota, Metazoa, Chordata, Mammalia, Primates, Cebidae.
GCCGAGGCGGGCAUGUGAUCCUAAAAAUGGCACAGAGAUGGACUCCUCCACAAGGAUGCUCACUGCAGUGGAAAAAGUGGAAAGAAACCAAAUGCCCAAGAACAGAGCUGGUGGAGAACAGUGACUCAGAAAAACACCUGGUGAGCCAGCAAGGUAGAAGGUGAAGUCACCUGAGCAAAUGAUCACGUGUCAUUACAUAGUGAAGCAGGCUAUGAAAUGCGUGAUUCCCAUGAUGUGGAGAGAGACGCUCAGGACACACUGAAGGUUUUAUACCAAAUAACAAGUCAUCUUUGAAUGAUAGGAUUAUGACCAUUUUCUUCUUUGGAAUUUUCCUCUUAUUUUCUAAAUUUUCUACAAUAAAAUGUAUGGAGUUUAUAGCCAGAAAGAAAGAAAGUAAGAAAUUCUGUAAAAACAAGUCAAACCUCGAUAUAUUCAGUUCAAGCCAGGACUUGGAGUGGCACUUAUUCUGUUUCAUUCUUCUUUUGCGUAACCUUCAGCUCAAAAUCAUUGUGGAAACAUAAAC